CGGCAACCUGCGAGUUUGCCUUUUUUCCUACAGUUUGUUUACCACUGACGAGGCCUUCUGCUGAGAUUUGAUGUAACACGAACUAGACAAACAAUUGGAAUCAUAUCACAUCGUCAAAGUGUCGUGGCCCAAUGUGCACUGUAGAAGAACCCUAUCAGGCCUGUGACCCAUUUUUGGGUCUUGACCCACCAGUUCGGAAGUACAGCUCUAAACGAUCUUCUCCAUUUGAGGGCUUCUCAGGCAUCUGGUUCUCAUGCAGAGUGAGUGGAGUGAAAAAUGAGAGGAAAGAAAGAGAGAAAUGGAUUGUGACGGAGGUAGCGAGGGUAAUAGGAUUGAGCCUGGACUCUGCGGGGUUGAGCUGCCCUCCUAACCGGACUCACUUCCUCUUCUCUCCUCUUCCCCACUGCGAGGUCAACCAGUCGUCCAUCAGAUCGCUGGCUAAUCCUUUCACAAUGAUUGAGUUGGACAAGUUUCUGAGACCAAAAGCGUAAAGAAGACGAUGAAUGAAAGAGAGAUCACACCCAAUAGAUGAGAUCGCUGGCCGGAUGUGCAUUUCUAUAUAUGAGGGCUUGCUGAUGGUAGCUCUCUGGGCUGGAGUCUGACAGAUGGAGCCAGAACUUCCCUGCUCUCUUCUGGAUUU
Molecule: long non-coding RNA, 640 nt
Filed under: Danio rerio (zebrafish)
Lineage: Eukaryota; Metazoa; Chordata; Actinopteri; Cypriniformes; Danionidae
Description: si:ch73-156h21.1 (ENSDARG00000105572.2)
Source: RNAcentral